UUUGGUUAGGUUUAUUCCUAGGUAUUCCUUGAUUUAUCUUUCUGCUGCUCGAUUAUUGGUGUAUAGAAAUGCAAGCAAUCAACUUUUCUCAUUUUAUGGAAGUAAGACUCUUACAUCAAUCUAGGGACACCAAUUUGAAGUCUUAAAAAUAUUUGUCUUCAAUAUCUAAAUUGAUUUUGUUUCCCUAUGCUUCAAUCUAUUCAUCUUGGUGCUUAUUUUUUAAGAUGUUGGUUUCUAUUUACAGAAAAUAAAUAAUUUGUUAAGCAGUUUUACUUGUGAAUGCUUAUUUUUCCGAUGGUUGUUUUUACUCCCGCAUCUGGGCCCUUUUUAGUUUUCUGUGUAAAUGGAAAGGCAAAAACCUCAUUAGAUCCAGGCAGCUGAUGUGUGUUCACUCAGCAACACAGGAGUCUGUGUCUUUGGCGAGCUUUUCCCUUGAAUGAAAGGGCGGACUUGGGGGCCUUUCAUGGGGAUUGUUGGGAGAUGUGUACAGACAGACCUCUCUGUAGGCUCAAUAGACGGGGGACAGAGCUCGAGGGGACCCUCCCUUCCCCCGCCAAAGCCGGCAGUGCCUUACCUGAUGGCAGAGCACGUUGGUCUGUUUCCCGAAAGUUGCCUUAAAAGAAAGGCUAUGGCCAGUUCAGGGCCCUCCGCAUAGUACUUGCUUCCCUCUUGGGUUGCAAAGUUCACGCAGACUCGUGGAGGUGGUUCUCCUACAUUUUACAGGAAACACAAUCCUGAGCGUCAACCCUUAGGCAACCCCUCGGGGGUGUAAGAACAACCCAGAAGUGUGGCUGUCUUUUCUCAUAUCCCCGACUCACUCUCCUGGUUCUUCAGCCCGGAGCCCACGUCCUGCUGUGGCCGGUUCUGAGUUGGGAGAUCCCGCCUGGCUCUGGACAGAACCGAAGACUCUUGCACAUUCCGUGUUUGUAUUAGGGGGUUGAGCACAGCGCCUCCAGUACGUGCCUCCUACUCUGUAUCUUACAGAAGCCAGUCAGAAUUUGUCACUUGCUGACAGCCCCCUUCCCUGUACUCCUCUGCCCUGAUAAUGUAUUGGUGUUUUUAUGUCUCUUCCUGCUAUGGCUUUGGAGGCAGAAGAGAGAAAUCUGGAGAUGAAUCCAGCCCAUCUUGUGGUGUUGAAAGCAUCACUUAUUCUUGAAAUUGUCACCGCCGGUGGCUUCAUUCGUUUGAUGGCUGUUUAGUGAGCAUCACUGUGGACCUCCUCUGCUCUAGAUGCUGCAGAUACUGGGCACCUGGGGGGCUCAGUUGGUGAAGCGUCUGACUCUUGAUUCCUUUGGCUUGGGUCAUGAUCUCACGUUUUGUGGGUUCGAGCCCCGCGUCGGGCUCCAUGCUGGCAGUGCGAAGCCUACUUCAACUGCUAACCCGACCUCUCCACCCGUAUGUGUCACAGACGCCUGACACAGAACAUGUCCAAGAUCUACCCCGCUCUCUGUCUCUCUCCUGAGUGGUUAGUUUCGUAUAUGCCACCAGCGUCGACCCAGCUGCUCUUGGAUAUAACCUCGGAGGAUCAGUGUUGUUCGAAGAUGUAUCUGUGGACUUCACCAGGAAGGAGUGGCGGCUGCUGGACCCGGCCCAGAGGCUCCUGUGCAGGGAUGUGAUGCUGGAGAACUAUGGGCACCUGGCGUCCCUGGGCUAUGGGACCCCUUUGCCACUCCUCUGGGAGAAGCCACCUUGUCUAAUUCACAAGGAGUCUUUCCUGGGAAGCCUCACGUGAUCCCUGAUGGCCACACCCUCGGAGGGCAGCAAGUUGACUACUGCUCUCACUACAGCAAGAGAGAGAGAGACAGUGCGUGAGCAGGGGAGGGGCAGAGAGAGAGGAAGACACAGAAUCCAAAGCAGGCUCCAAGCUGUCAGUACAGAGCCAGACGCGAGGCUCGAACCUGAGGUGAAGUCAGACGCUGAACCGACUGAGCCACCCAGGCGCCCCUGGAAGCUGGAAAGUCUUGUAUUUAUGUUUGGCCUUCAGUCGGCUUUUCGGGACAUGCCUCAAGGCUCCAACAGUGACCGUCCCUCCUCAGACUCCUCUCCCGAGGUGUUUAGUCUGGACGUGAGAGUGUCCUUCCGCCCAGAAGGCGCGUUAUGUCAAAUUUCAAAUCCCCCAGAAGAGCAGAAGAACACUACAACGAACAUCUCUGGAUGCACCCCUGGUUACGAUUUUGCCACACUAGCUUGCCAUCUCUCUCUGUCUCUCUUGUUAUACGUGGAUGCACAUUUUUUUUU
Felis catus (domestic cat) is the source of this 2238-nucleotide long non-coding RNA. RefSeq lists it as uncharacterized. The record is from RefSeq and is a predicted model, not a curated record. Lineage: Eukaryota; Metazoa; Chordata; Mammalia; Carnivora; Felidae. The transcript is spliced from 6 exons.